GACGAACGCUGGCGGCGUGCUUAACACAUGCCAGUCGAACGGAAAGGCCCUGCUUUUGUGGGGUGCUCGAGUGGCGAACGGGUGAGUAACACGUGAGUAACCUGCCCUUGACUUUGGGAUAACUUCAGGAAACUGGGGCUAAUACCGGAUAGGAGCUCCUGCUGCAUGGGGGGGGUUGGAAAGUUUCGGCGGUUGGGGAUGGACUCGCGGCUUAUCAGCUUGUUGGUGAGGUAGUGGCUUACCAAGGCUUUGACGGGUAGCCGGCCUGGGAGGGUGAACGGCCACAUUGGGACUGAGGUACGGCCCAGACUCCUACGGGAGGCAGCAGUGGGGAAUAUUGCACAAUGGGCGGAAGCCUGAUGCAGCAACGCCGCGUGCGGAAUAACGGCCUUCGGGUUGUAAACCGCUUUGGACUGUGACGAAGCGUGAGUGACGGUAAUGGGUAAAGAAGCACCGGCAAACUACGUG
This 468-nucleotide ribosomal RNA is filed under the name uncultured bacterium. Its description in RNAcentral is "partial 16S ribosomal RNA". It matches the Rfam family "Bacterial small subunit ribosomal RNA", at positions 28 to 507 of the family's 1533-position model. The record is from RNAcentral.